Long non-coding RNA from Pararge aegeria (speckled wood butterfly), 482 nucleotides. RefSeq lists it as uncharacterized. Lineage: Eukaryota; Metazoa; Arthropoda; Insecta; Lepidoptera; Nymphalidae. The record is from RefSeq and is a predicted model, not a curated record. The transcript has 3 exons.
GUAAUUAUCACUUCGCCGUUUUAUUAAAUGACUAAAAUAUUUCCUAAAAACACCAUUAAUUUCUUUAACUUCUAAAGUGGUUUUGCUAUAUUACUUACUAGUGUUGUUAUUUUGUUUCAGGGUUCGGCUUUGGGCUGAAUAUUGUUUUGAAAAUAUUGCUGAAGUGGAGUUGAAAGACCAUAGGUUAAUUAUAGAGGCCAUAAGUUAUUGUGUAGUAAGCAUUUUGAUCGCAGUGCCUUCACAAAUGAGACGAUGAAAAGGUUAAAUCCUAAUGCUGUUCCAAAUUUGUUGUUCCCACCAUUAUUAGCUGAAUUGUCACAAAUGGAAGAUUCAACGACAACUUCAGUGUCUACUGUGUCUUCAUCUUUUAUACAAUAUCUGCCUAACUCGCCUCUAAAAGUUCAAGCACAGCAAUUGGACAUUACUUUUGUGACUCAACCUGUCAAUUUGAAGAACACAAAAAUUAACAAACAUUUUAAAAG